GUUCAUAUUGUUUUUGUUUUGCAAUGCGUCACUCCAUAGAAAUGUACUGUCAGAGCUGGUGAAAUGAAGCAGAAUUCUGAAGAUUUUAAUGCCUCUGAACACCUCCCUCAGAGUUAUGACGUAAAAUGUUUACGGAUGCACUGCUUUCAUGGCAGUUUUGACCUGAACAUAUAAUGGUGUCGGAGUUGUAUUCUGUUUAGUAGGAAGGGACUCUUAUUGUGAAGGGCGGGGCUACUGAAGGCUAGUGAGCGUGAGAGAGCCAACAACAGGACCAAUGAGCUAGGCUGAGGGUGACCUUCUCCUCCUGUGUUCUGUUUGCUGUACCAGUUCUAAAUGAAGCCACAUUGUGGACUUUGAGCUGUCCAUGGACAGGUAGAUGAGACAAGAGGUCGGUUCAAGGCUUCGGUGGAGCGUCAGAUAAAGGAGGAGGAAAUCUACAAGAACAGAAUUAAAGAACUGAAACUGUCCCUCGGUAAGAAACACCUUUCUACCAGAUGUACAGCCGACCAACAAGAAUAAGUCCUGCAACCUCUCCAUACACAUCAUAUGGAGGAAUCUACAUAUAAGACAGACAACACUCCUGCUCUGGUUGUGUGUGUUGAGUUUUGUGUUUCUUUCACUCACCGUUAGUGUGCGAGGUGAAGGGUCAGUGUCUUUACAGCACAGAAUCAGGCACCAGCAGACGGUCACCGGAUUCUUGUUUUCCGUUCAACGGCAGCAGAUGUUUGCAGCAUCGGACGUCUAAAAAAGCCGGAAAACUUUGCGGAUCUCAGAUCCCACCUUCGUCGCCAGAACACAAGUAUAUUCCUUCUUCACAAGCAUUCAGAAAUACUGUAAAUAGGUUCAGUUUCAUUAAAGAAAGGCCCGACUUGUCUUGCUGAGUCAGAAAUGUGGCCCUCAGCUGCAUAUUCAGAAAAAAAGGACACACAUAAAUGGGACGGUUUUAAGAAUCUCUAAUUCCACCUCCGGUUAAUGCUGAUAAAAUGGCAGUUUUUAAUGGUAAAAUUAAGAAACGUUCAUAGUGAGAAAGCGAAUAAAAGAGUGACAUUCGGCUCUUCCCUUAUAACCUUAAUGAAAGAUCAUAUAUCUGAAUGCACCCCACAUUAUUCUGGUCCCAGUGUGAAACAUCACAGAACUUAUAGCAUCCUCUACUGCCCAAAAUCAUUCACUGCAUCUCUAUGUAGAAACAGCAGACUGCAUUCAUUGUAUAUUCAUAAGCAACCAUUACAACAUGCAUUUUUACCCGGAAUAAUAAGAAUGUUUUAUCUUAGCCGUGACUUUAUAUAAUGAACUUGUAUUUGCUCUGUAUUUAUUUUAUGUUCUGGCCCUUGUGUUAUUUUUGCAUGUCCUGUAUGUUCUUGUGGAGGCCUACCAAGUUGA
Molecule: long non-coding RNA, 1380 nt
Organism: Pygocentrus nattereri (red-bellied piranha)
Lineage: Eukaryota; Metazoa; Chordata; Actinopteri; Characiformes; Serrasalmidae
Exons: 3
Source: RefSeq, a predicted model, not a curated record